This 212-nucleotide ribosomal RNA is filed under the name uncultured bacterium. Its description in RNAcentral is "partial 16S ribosomal RNA". It matches the Rfam family "Bacterial small subunit ribosomal RNA", at positions 524 to 732 of the family's 1533-position model. The record is from RNAcentral.
UACAGAGGGUGCAAGCGUUUGUUCGGAAUUAUUGGGCGUAAAGCGCGUGUAGGCGGCUUUGCAAGUCGGGUGUGAAAGCCCUCAGCUCAACUGAGGAAGUGCGCCCGAAACUGCAGAGCUUGAGUGCCGGAGAGGGUGGCGGAAUUCCCCAAGUAGAGGUGAAAUUCGUAGAUAUGGGGAGGAACACCAGUGGCGAAGGCGGCCGAUCCUGG